Long non-coding RNA from Spea bombifrons (plains spadefoot toad), 604 nucleotides. RefSeq lists it as uncharacterized. Lineage: Eukaryota; Metazoa; Chordata; Amphibia; Anura; Pelobatidae. The transcript has 2 exons. The record is from RefSeq and is a predicted model, not a curated record.
GCUCUGUCCAUUUUUGUUGACAUUCCCCUCUAAUAAUUGGAGGUGAUUUUAAUGAUAUAUUACCGGUGAAAAUAGAAGUGGAGGGGAUGAGGACCAGAAGGUAGAUAGAACUUCUCGCCAGCUUAAACCCUCUGACCCGGGUUAUAUACGUGGUAUAGCGGCCAGGUCAGCUCCCGCUUUGGUUUUGUCCUUUUCUGGUUGUAAUCUCCAGGACGUGUUUUUAGAAGAUGAUUUGUUUUCAGACCAUAAGCUUUUAAAAACAAACUUUUUAACUCCUAAUGAAUCUAAAUGGUGGAAACUCUCUUUAUCGUUACUAGAAGAUGAACAACUCUGGAAUAAUUCUAAGGUCUCAUAUGGGCGAUGGCGGCGCCAGAAAGACCCAAGUCAGAGUUUUUUGGGACUGGUGGGAAACCAGAAGUCCAAGAUUAAGAAUUUUUUUUAUUGCUGCUGGCAAGAGGAAGAAAAAAGAGCGCAAGCGAGUUUUUAAAGAUCGUAAUGUGCGUCUACAAACUCUUUUUUUAAGUUGAAAGAGGCUGGUUUAAGCAUUACUGACAAACUGAUUUUUAAUUUAAAGAAGGAGAUUAAAAAGGUUUUAGAUUUUAAA